RNAcentral lists this ribosomal RNA (549 nucleotides) under uncultured Glomeromycotina. Its description in RNAcentral is "SSU rRNA". It matches the Rfam family "Eukaryotic small subunit ribosomal RNA", at positions 548 to 1098 of the family's 1831-position model. Lineage: Eukaryota; Fungi; Glomeromycota. The record is from RNAcentral.
UUGGAGGGCAAGUCUGGUGCCAGCAGCCGCGGUAAUUCCAGCUCCAAUAGCGUAUAUUAAAGUUGUUGCAGUUAAAAAGCUCGUAGCUGAAUUUCGGGAUCAGUACGCUGGUCAUGCCUUUGGUAUGCACUGGUGUCACUGGUUUCUCCCUUCUGAAGAUCCGUGAUGUCAUUAAUUUGGUGUCGCGGGGAAUCAGGACUGUUACUUUGAAAAAAUUAGAGUGUUUAAAGCAGGCUCACGCUUGAAUACAUUAGCAUGGAAUAAUGAAAUAGGACGUUUGACCCUAUUUUGUUGGUUUCUAGGAUCGACGUAAUGAUUAAUAGGGAUAGUUGGGGGCAUUAGUAUUCAAUUGUCAGAGGUGAAAUUCUUGGAUUUAUUGAAGACUAACUACUGCGAAAGCAUUUGCCAAGGAUGUUUUCAUUAAUCAAGAACGAAAGUUAGGGGAUCGAAGACGAUCAGAUACCGUCGUAGUCUUAACCAUAAACUAUGCCGACUAGGAAUCGGAUGAUGUUAAUUUUUUAAUGACUCAUUCGGCGCCUUACGGGAAAC